UCUUUGUCUGGGAUGUUUCUGGAUGAAAUUCAGGAAGAUUAAGCCAAUUAUCAAUGAAGAUGCAUCUGAUCUUGAGGAUGGAUCUUAUUUCCCUAUGGUUCUUGUACAGAUUCCCAUGUGCAAUGAAAAAGAGGUUUUUGCCCAAUCAAUUGGUGCUGUUUGUCAGCUGGAUUGGCCAAAAGACCGAUUCUUGGUACAAGUAUUGGAUGAUUCAGAUGAUGAAGUCCUGCAGCAAAUGAUCAAGAAUGAAUGUGUAUCCUGGAAAGAGAAAGGAGUCAACAUUAUCUACAGACAUCGGUUCAUCCGAACUGGUUACAAAGCUGGCAAUCUUAAAUCUGCAAUGACUUGUGACUAUGUUCAGGACUAUGAAUUUGUUGCAAUUUUUGACGCGGAUUUCCAACCAAAUCCUGAUUUCCUUAAACUGACUGUUCCUCAUUUUAAGGGAAAACCGGAUGUUGGACUUGUUCAAGCACGCUGGACCUUCGUUAAUCAGGAUGAGAACUUACUUACUAGGCUUCAGAACAUUAACUUGUGCUUCCAUUUUGAGGUGGAACAACAAGUGAAUGGUCACUAUCUCAAUUUCUUUGGAUUCAAUGGAACAGCUGGUGUUUGGAGAAUUAAGGCUUUGGAGGAGUCUGGCGGAUGGUUGGAACGGACAACUGUUGAGGACAUGGAUAUCGCUGUCAGAGCACACUUGUAUGGCUGGAAAUUUAUCUAUGUUAAUGAUGUAAGGGCACUUUGCGAGUUACCAGAAUCAUAUGAGGCUUACAAGAAACAGCAGCACCGUUGGCAUUCUGGUCCUAUGCAGCUCUUUAGACUAUGUCUUCCUGCAAUCCUGACUUCCAAGAUCUCUAUCUGGAAGAAGGCGAACAUGAUAUUCCUUUUCUUUCUUCUAAGGAAGCUUGUAUUACCCUUUUACUCAUUCACAUUGUUCUGUAUCAUACUUCCAUUAACAAUGUUCAUACCAGAAGCCCAGUUGCCCGCUUGGGUUAUCUGUUAUGUCCCUAUAGUCAUGUCCAUUUUGAACAUCCUUCCGGCACCAAAGUCUUUCCCUUUCCUAAUGCCAUACCUCCUAUUCGAGAACACAAUGUCGGUGACAAAAUUCAAUGCCAUGGUCUCGGGGCUAUUUCAGUUGGGAAGUGCCUAUGAAUGGGUGGUCACCAAGAAAACAGGCAGAUCAUCUGAAUCAGACUUGCUAGCAUUUGCUGAGGAGGAAUCAAAGAAAAUGAACGAAGAGAAAAUAUCAAGAAGGUUAUCUGAAUCUGGUCUAGAACUAUACGGAAAACUAAAAGAACAUGAACAAGAGAUUCCGAAGAAAAAGAAGGCAAACAAAAUCUACAGGAAGGAAUUAGCGCUUGCUUUUCUUUUGCUGACUGCAGCUGCAAGAAGCCUGUUAUCUGCACAAGGCAUACAUUUCUAUUACUUGCUGUUUCAAGGCUUAACUUUUCUUAUAGUUGGCUUGGAUUUAAUUGGAGAACAAGUCAGCUAGCUAAAGCAAAGAGUUUUAAUAUUUUAUUUGGAACAUCAUCAUCUGUUUAGAGACCAAAAUUUCCAGUUGAGUAGCAAUCAAAACUUGGCUGCAAACUGGGACUUUCACCAUAAGAAUAGUUACAGGUGAAUUUUAAACAAUAGCAUACUCACAUUCAUUCAUAUAUACUUUUUUAUUUUAUUUCUUUUCAUUUGUGAAAUUUGUAAUUGCCUUUACUAUAUCAAGCAAAAUAAUGAAUUGGAAAUAUUGUUU
Molecule: unclassified non-coding RNA, 1741 nt
Filed under: Hevea brasiliensis (rubber tree)
Lineage: Eukaryota; Viridiplantae; Streptophyta; Magnoliopsida; Malpighiales; Euphorbiaceae
Source: RNAcentral